RNAcentral lists this ribosomal RNA (497 nucleotides) under uncultured bacterium. RNAcentral describes it as "partial 16S ribosomal RNA". It matches the Rfam family "Bacterial small subunit ribosomal RNA", at positions 28 to 507 of the family's 1533-position model. The record is from RNAcentral.
GAUGAACGCUGGCGGCGUGCCUAAUACAUGCAAGUCGAGCGAACGGACGAGAAGCUUGCUUCUCUGCUGUUAGCGGCGGACGGGUGAGUAACACGUGGAUAACCUACCUAUAAGACUGGGAUAACUUCGGGAAACCGGAGCUAAUACCGGAUAAUAUUUUGAACCGCAUGGUUCAAAAGUGAAAGACGGUCUUGCUGUCACUUAUAGAUGGAUCCGCGCUGCAUUAGCUAGUUGGUAAGGUAACGGCUUACCAAGGCAACGAUGCAUAGCCGACCUGAGAGGGUGAUCGGCCACACUGGAACUGAGACACGGUCCAGACUCCUACGGGAGGCAGCAGUAGGGAAUCUUCCACAAUGGGCGAAAGCCUGACGGAGCAACGCCGCGUGAGUGAUGAAGGUCUUCGGAUCGUAAAACUCUGUUAUUAGGGAAGAACAUAUGUGUAAGUAACUGUGCACAUCUUGACGGUACCUAAUCAGAAAGCCACGGCUAACUACGUG